UGCUUCGGCGGGCCCGCCUUAACUGGCCGCCGGGGGGCUUACGCCCCCGGGCCCGCGCCCGCCGAAGACACCCUCGAACUCUGUCUGAAGAUUGUAGUCUGAGUGAAAAUAUAAAUUAUUUAAAACUUUCAACAACGGAUCUCUUGGUUCCGGCAUCGAUGAAGAACGCAGCGA
This 174-nucleotide unclassified non-coding RNA is filed under the name Penicillium chrysogenum. RNAcentral describes it as "sequence contains ITS1, 5.8S rRNA gene". The stretch from base 124 to 174 matches the Rfam family "5.8S ribosomal RNA", at positions 1 to 51 of the family's 154-position model. Lineage: Eukaryota; Fungi; Ascomycota; Eurotiomycetes; Eurotiales; Aspergillaceae. The record is from RNAcentral.